UUUUUCCUUGUACCUUCAUGUAGAACCUAAGAAAUAAAUCUCUAGAAGUCUCUCCAAACAUGAUAAGAGUUCUUAACCUGGAACUUUAGUACCAUGUAGGGGAGAUAAUUUUGUAAAUAGAUAUGGCUAAAAUGCAAAUAAUCCAUGCUUGAAUGAAAGAACUCUGGUGUUGCAUGGAUUGUCAUUAGGCUUUCUCGGUGCAGGUUAGGUGGAAGGCGGAGAAGAUCUCAUU
RNAcentral lists this long non-coding RNA (232 nucleotides) under Carica papaya (papaya). RNAcentral describes it as "long non-coding RNA (CPAP_LNC012169)". Lineage: Eukaryota; Viridiplantae; Streptophyta; Magnoliopsida; Brassicales; Caricaceae. The record is from RNAcentral.